Molecule: long non-coding RNA, 652 nt
Filed under: Cavia porcellus (domestic guinea pig)
Lineage: Eukaryota; Metazoa; Chordata; Mammalia; Rodentia; Caviidae
Description: lncRNA (ENSCPOG00000033971.1)
Source: RNAcentral
UAAGUAUGCUGCACUGUAAUUUAUAUUAGUUUUUUUCUUAUUAGGAGUCUUUCUUUGAAAUUGACAAGAGACAUGGACCAGGAAUCCAGAUGUCCCCAUGUCAGCCGAGUGCCUGGCAGCCCAUCGGCAGAUUGGCCCUUCCAGAGCAUAGAAGAGAAUGGAGGCUUUGAUCCUCUGCCAUUCAGAUUGAUGUUACAGGACUGCACUGCCGUGAAGACGCUGUUGUUAAAGAUGAAGAGAGUUCUCCAAGAGAGUUCAGACAUGAGCCCUGCGAGCAGCACCACUUCGCUUCCUGUUAGUCCUCUUGCGGAAGAGCCAGUGCCUUUCAAGGAUAUAAUGAAAGAUGAAUGUUCUGUGCUCAAGCUACAACUGAAAGAGAGGGACGAACUCAUUUCCCACCUUCAGGAAGAGCUGGAAAAAGUGCAGCAUUUACAGAAGGCUUUUGCUUCAAGGGUAGAUAAAUCCACACAGACGGAACUUCUAGGCUAUGAUGUAAGUAGCUAUGUAAAAUGAAUUUUUAUCUUUUUUUAAUUGAUAUUCAGACCUCCACAGCUUAUUUACUUCUGCUAUUUCUGUGUCCAUGCAUUGAAUUAAUAGAUGUUAGUGGUACUCCUUUCAUCUUUUGCCUUGAAACAAUUCCAAAACACCCUCU